CCUACGGGAGGGCAGCAGUCGAGAAUCAUUCACAAUGGGGGAAACCCUGAUGCAGCGACGCCGCGUGUGGGAAGACGGUCCUCUGGAUUGUAAACCACUGUCCCCAGGGACGAAGAUGACGGUACCUGGGGAGGAAGCUCCGGCUAACUACGUGCCAGCAGCCGCGGUAAUACGUAGGGAGCAAGCGUUGUCCGGAAUUACUGGGUGUAAAGGGAGCGUAGGCGGGAUGGCAAGUUGGGUGUUAAAUCUACCGGCUCAACUGGUAGUCGCACUCAAAACUGCUAUUCUUGAGUGAAGUAGAGGCAGGCGGAAUUCCUAGUGUAGCGGUGAAAUGCGUAGAUAUUAGGAGGAACACCAGUGGCGAAGGCGGCCUGCUGGGCUUUUACUGACGCUGAGGCUCGAAAGUGUGGGGAGCAAACAGGAUUAGAUACCCGUGUAGUC
Molecule: ribosomal RNA, 441 nt
Filed under: uncultured bacterium
Lineage: Bacteria
Description: partial 16S ribosomal RNA
Rfam family: Bacterial small subunit ribosomal RNA
Source: RNAcentral